RNAcentral lists this ribosomal RNA (1184 nucleotides) under wastewater metagenome. RNAcentral's name for it is "bacterial LSU rRNA". It matches the Rfam family "Bacterial large subunit ribosomal RNA", at positions 773 to 1979 of the family's 2925-position model. The record is from RNAcentral.
UCCGAACCAGUAUGGGUUGAAAACCGUUUGGAUGACUUGAGGAUAGGGGUGAAAGGCCAAUCAAAUUCCGUGAUAGCUGGUUCUCCCCGAAAUAGCUUUAGGGCUAGCGUCGGAUGUUUCGUCGUGCAGGUAGAGACCUGAAUGGACUAGGGGGCACACCCGCUUACCGAAUCCAACCAAUCUUCGAAUGGCACGCCGUGAAGUCCGGCAGUCAGACAGUGGGCGAUAAGGUCCAUUGUCGAGAGGGAAAGAACCCAGAUCGCCAGCUAAGGUCCCAAAAUCUCUGCUAAGUGGAAAAGGAUGUGGAUGUGCUUAGACAGCCAGGAGGUUAGCUUAGAAGCAGCUAUCCUUUAAAGAAAGCGUAAUAGCUCACUGGUCAAGCGGGUCUGUGCCGACAAUUCAACGGGGCUCAAGCAGAGUACCGAAGCUGCGAACGUAAGUGGUAGGGGAGCAUUCCCUAGGCCUGCGAAGGUUGACCGUGAGGACAGCUGGAGGCAUGGGAAGAGACUCUGUCGGCAUAAGUAGCGUAAAGACGGGCGAGAACCCCGUCCACCGUAAGACUAAGGAUUCCAACGCAAGGUCAAUCCGCGUUGGGUUAGUCGGACCCUAAGCUGAGGCCGAGAGGCGUAGGCGAUGGAAAGCUGGUUAAUAUUCCAGCACCAUGAAUACCUCGUUUGUACGAUGCAGGGACGCAGAAAGGUAGUCGCGCAGCUCUAUGGAAUGUGCUGUGAAAUCUUUCAAGGGUGAGACUUAGGGAAGUCCGGGUCUCAUGAGCCCAAGAAUUAUGACGAAAGGCGAUGAUCCUACGCUGCCGAGAAAAGCUGCUAAGGAGAGGUAUUUGUGUCCGUACCGCAAACCGACACAGGUAGUCGAGGAGAGAAUCCUCAGGUGUUUGAGUGAAGUGUGCUGAAGGAACUCGGCAAAUUAACCCCGUAACUUCGGGAGAAGGGGUACCACGGUAGGGUUCAUAGCCCGAGGUGGUGGCACAUAAAUGUCCCAGGCGACUGUUUAACAAAAACACAGGUCUCUGCAAACUCCAAAGAGGAGGUAUAGGGGCUGACGCCUGCCCGGUGCCGGAAGGUCAAGAGGAGCGGUUAGCGCAAGCGAAGCUGCGAAUUUAAGCCCCGGUGAACGGCGGCCGUAACUAUAACGGUCCUAAGGUAGCGAAAUUCCUUGUCGGGUAA